AACACUUGAUAGACACAAUGUCUUAGCUCAAAUUAUCUCUAGUUCAGCAAUAUUUACAUUUUCAACCAGUCUUUUAUUUUUUCAGCUAAGCAAUUAGUCUUUUAUUUUUAGUUCAAGCAAUCCAUUACAAUUUUCAAUGCACAUAUUUUAAUUCCUAUAAGCGAUCUUUACAAUUUUCAAUGCAUAUAUUUCAAUUCCUGUAAGUGAUCUUUACAAUUUUUAAUGCAAU
This 229-nucleotide unclassified non-coding RNA is filed under the name Hevea brasiliensis (rubber tree). Lineage: Eukaryota; Viridiplantae; Streptophyta; Magnoliopsida; Malpighiales; Euphorbiaceae. The record is from RNAcentral.